GUGGGGAAUAUUCCGCAAUGGACGAAAGUCUGACGGAGCAACGCCGCGUGAGUGAUGAAGGUUUUCGGACUGUAAAGCUCUGUUGUUUAGGACGAAAGUGCCUGUUGCAAAUAGUUACAGGUAUUGACGGUACUGAACGAGGAAGCCACGGCUAACUACGUGCCAGCAGCCGCGGUAAUACGUAGGUGGCAAGCGUUGUCCGGAAUUAUUGGGCGUAAAGAGCAUGUAGGCGGGAAUCUAAGUCUGUUGUGAAAAUGCGGGGCUCAACCCCGUAUUGCGAUGGAAACUGGGUUUCUUGAGUGCAGGAGAGGAAAGGGGAAUUCCCAGUGUAGCGGUGAAAUGCGUAGAUAUUGGGAGGAACACCAGUGGCGAAGGCGCCUUUCUGGACUGUGUCUGACGCUGAGAUGCGAAAGCCAGGGUAGCGAACGUGAUUAGAUACCCGGGUAGUCC
This 450-nucleotide ribosomal RNA is filed under the name uncultured bacterium. Its description in RNAcentral is "partial 16S ribosomal RNA". It matches the Rfam family "Bacterial small subunit ribosomal RNA", at positions 354 to 796 of the family's 1533-position model. The record is from RNAcentral.